Stegastes partitus (bicolor damselfish) is the source of this 176-nucleotide long non-coding RNA. RefSeq lists it as uncharacterized. The record is from RefSeq and is a predicted model, not a curated record. The transcript is spliced from 3 exons. Lineage: Eukaryota; Metazoa; Chordata; Actinopteri; Pomacentridae.
UUUUAUUUUGUUCUCAGAGAGAAGGUGAAAUCUAUAGCCACCAUGACGUUUGGCCUGAGGAUCACGCUCCUGCUGCUUCUGGCUACUGGAACAGUGACAGUAAAAGGACUCAGUACCACUGUUCCCACUAGAGGAGAUGGCUUGGUGCCCAGUGCAGGAACUAUUCCUAAUCAAGG